This is a non-coding RNA of Rattus norvegicus (Norway rat), 366 nucleotides long. Lineage: Eukaryota; Metazoa; Chordata; Mammalia; Rodentia; Muridae. The record is from RefSeq and is a predicted model, not a curated record.
GUGUACUCUGGUUGGUGGUUUAGUCCAUGAGAGCUCUGGGUUGUCUGGUUGGUUGAUAUUGUUGUUCUUCCUAUGGGAUUGCAAACCCCUUCAGCUCCUUUACUCCUUUCUUUAACUCCUCCAUUGGGGACCCUGUGCUCAGUUCAAUUUGGCUAUGAGCAUCUGCCUCUGUCUUUGUCAAGCGAAAAUGGCGUGAACUGAAGCUGAGUUUGAAGGAGAAAUCCAGCACCAGAGCCUGCAAUCUGAGGAGGAUCUCCAUUCAGACUCACCUGAUAACAGCUUGAUUCAGUCCUAGAACACAGGGAAGACAUACUACUUUCUACUUGUGAAUCUUUUUUUGGCUAAAUAAAUCUUUAAUAUUCCUAA